RNAcentral lists this ribosomal RNA (441 nucleotides) under uncultured bacterium. Its description in RNAcentral is "partial 16S ribosomal RNA". It matches the Rfam family "Bacterial small subunit ribosomal RNA", at positions 338 to 795 of the family's 1533-position model. The record is from RNAcentral.
CCUACGGGAGGCUGCAGUGGGGGAUAUUGCACAAUGGGGGGAACCCUGAUGCAGCGACGCCGCGUGGGUGAAGGAGUGCUUCGGCAUGUAAAGCCCUUUCGGCAGGGAAGAAGCAAGACGGAACUUGAAAAAGAAGCCCCGGUUAACUACGUGCAAGCAGCCGCGGUAAUACGUGGGGGGCAAGCGUUAUCCGGAUUUACUGGGGGUAAAGGGGGCGCAGACGGCGAUGCAAGCCAGGAGUGAAAGCCCGGGGCCCAACCCCGGGACUGCUCUUGGAACUGCGUGGCUGGAGUGCAGGAGGGGCAGGCGGAAUUCCUGGUGUAGCGGUGAAAUGCGUAGAUAUCAGGAGGAACACCGGUGGCGAAGGCGGCCUGCUGGACUGCAACUGACGUUGAGGCCCGAAAGCGUGGGGAGCAAACAGGAUUAGAUACCCGAGUAGUC